UGCAGUUGAGCGCUGAGGUUGGUACUUGUACCGACUGGAUGAGCAGCGAACGGGUGAGUAACGCGUGGGGAAUCUGCCUUUGAGCGGGGGACAACAUUUGGAAACGAAUGCUAAUACCGCAUAAAAACUUUAAACACAAGUUUUAAGUUUGAAAGAUGCAAUUGCAUCACUCAAAGAUGAUCCCGCGUUGUAUUAGCUAGUUGGUGAGGUAAAGGCUCACCAAGGCGAUGAUACAUAGCCGACCUGAGAGGGUGAUCGGCCACAUUGGGACUGAGACACGGCCCAAACUCCUACGGGAGGCAGCAGUAGGGAAUCUUCGGCAAUGGACGAAAGUCUGACCGAGCAACGCCGCGUGAGUGAAGAAGGUUUUCGGAUCGUAAAACUCUGUUGGUAGAGAAGAACGUUGGUGAGAGUGGAAAGCUCAUCAAGUGACGGUAACUACCCAGAAAGGGACGGCUAACUACGUGCCAGCAGCCGCGGUAAUACGUAGGUCCCGAGCGUUGUCCGGAUUUAUUGGGCGUAAAGCGAGCGCAGGUGGUUUAUUAAGUCUGGUGUAAAAGGCAGUGGCUUAACCAUUGUAUGCAUUGGAAACUGGUAGACUUGAGUGCAGGAGAGGAGAGUGGAAUUCCAUGUGUAGCGGUGAAAUGCGUAGAUAUAUGGAGGAACACCGGUGGCGAAAGCGGCUCUCUGGCCUGUAACUGACACUGAGGCUCGAAAGCGUGGGGAGCAAACAGGAUUAGAUACCCUGGUAGUCCACGCCGUAACGAUGAGUGCUAGAUGUAGGGAGCUAUAAGUUCUCUGUAUCGCAGCUAACGC
RNAcentral lists this ribosomal RNA (816 nucleotides) under Lactococcus lactis. RNAcentral's name for it is "bacterial SSU rRNA". It matches the Rfam family "Bacterial small subunit ribosomal RNA", at positions 56 to 858 of the family's 1533-position model. The record is from RNAcentral. Lineage: Bacteria; Bacillati; Bacillota; Bacilli; Lactobacillales; Streptococcaceae.